UUAAUAGAAUCUGUGUGUAAUUAUUCUCAGUGCUUCCCUACAUGCUGUGGCCUGUUAUUUGUUGGAAAAGUCUGUUUAAUGGGUGUCAUGUCAGGUAUGUGCCUUUCUGGAUUGUGGCACAAUUUCCACACCACUCCAUAGUCCAGGGUGCCUCCUGCUUUUUGGCUACCAGGUCAUCCUUCAGUUUAAUCACAGCACUUUUAAAGAAAUCCCUUUAAAAAUGACAUUAAACUUCAGGUUCCUGUUAGUGAGCCUUGCAGAGAUUCUGUUAAAGCUGACCAGUUGAGGGAGGAUUAUCUUUAAUUUAUCCCUUGUUUGGUUAUUAUCCCCAUCCCAACCCCAGCUGUAAAAGGUAUUUUAUCAGAUUUUUCACCAGAUUUGCCUUUUUUUAUUACAUUUGCUAGAUUUUUGUAGCUUUCUAUAAGAUGCAUAAAUACUGCUAUUUUUUCCUGGAUAAGGUUGAAUAAAUAAAUAAAUAAAUAUAUAUAUAUACAGGAAAUUUAUGUUCUAGGUUGUCAAAUUGUCCUCUUGUCCAAAAAACCCCCACAGAUCUAAACAGAUAGUAGAAAUUCUAUGUACAGUAUAACUGUGAAAUAGUAUUGCUUAUAGCCUGUAAAUAAAGGGGAGUUGUAAAUACAUUUUCCCUGUGCACAAGCACUUGCACUGUAGUUUUGUAGGCAUUUCUAGCAGAGGGAUGGAGGCAGAGCUGGGUUUGGAUCUGUGAGCUGUCCAGGAAUUCUACCUGCUUUGUUUCCUUCUGUGUUCUCAGCAGUUGUCACUUUUUUUUGCAUGUGACUCCUUUUAGGUUUCAAUCCUGCAGCAAAUUUGCAAAGAGAGCUGAACUUCAAGCUGCUCUAGUCACGAGUGUGUAAGCUGAAAAAUCUGUAUAGAAACUAGGGUUCAGUUGGUCUGAGGCAUGCAGAAGUGUUAUGCAAUUUCAACUUCGUUAAUAAGUGUUUAUCAAUAAAUUUAGUAAAGGCUUUUUAGCCUUCUUAACAUGGCUUUGUUGUGAUUAGAACACUUUGUAGGUGAGUGCUUAUUUCCAUAAUUGGAGGUCAAGACAAAAACAGCAGAAAAAAUGCUUAACAAUAUGGUGCAGGUGCAUAGUUUUAGAUGAACUCCUCAGAAUGUGUUCUCUCAAACCUGUCCAGAUAUAGAGUUCCAAACCUUGAGGUAAUGCAGCUGUGCAGGAUGAAUUUUGGGAUCAGCACACACAGCACUGAUGUAGAUUUAAUGUGUCAGAGUGCUUAAAGAGUGGGCUUAGUUCCCUGGCUGUUUGACCUGUAAAUAACACCUACCAAAAGGUGAUUUCAUCCAUUUCUGUACUUCAAGGAGUUGCCUGAACCAGCAUGUCAGGAGUUUGUUCUGUGCAUUUUGAAUUGCAGCUCCCCUCUUGUCCCCUGGGCUCUGUCUGAGUGUUUAAUCAACAUGGAUUUUUAAGAGCGGGUGUUCAAGGCUUUCAUUUCUCCAGUAGUGAGAACAAUAUUUUGGUUUCAGCUGUGCUAGGAAUCUGAUCAUAAUAGCAAAUACAGCUGCUGCUAAUUAAAUGAAUCUGUUAACCUUUAUUCCAUAGGAUAAUUGCCUGUCUGUGUGUUUCUUCCUGUCAUCUGUGUGUAUGAUAAAUGUCCUUUUCCUAGCUAUAACAGGAGAUUAGUUCAACGUUAAUGUUUUCCUUCACGUGGUGUGUGCUGAAAGAAAAUCCUUUUCUGCUUUGGAAAGCCGUGGAUGUGUCAUACAAAUGGUAUUGAGGAAAUUAAACUUGUCAGAUGA
This is a long non-coding RNA of Pyrgilauda ruficollis (rufous-necked snowfinch), 1770 nucleotides long. RefSeq lists it as uncharacterized. The record is from RefSeq and is a predicted model, not a curated record. The transcript is spliced from 2 exons. Lineage: Eukaryota; Metazoa; Chordata; Aves; Passeriformes; Passeridae.